GACAGCUUUGCACUGUCGCAAGUGCAUUUUCCAGCUGGUCUUUCCUUCCAAGAUCCUUGUGAAGAGCAGAGAAUCGAUCCAUUGCGGUGCUCGGCGCCGACGCUGUGAUAAUGUACAGGUAUAUCCGUGCUCAGAAUGACAGACCUGCACGUUGAAGACAAGCUCAUUGACAAAAUAAAAGGUCGUGGCGUGUUUGCAAAAACGUUAAUUCUAAAGGGUAACUUUGUUACAGAAUUCAGAGUUUAACUUCUCAACCCAGAAAAACUAGAAAAAAAAUGUCAUUUGCUUUCUUCUAUGUCUGAGUACUGGCUCGAAUACAAAUGGACAAGGAAAAAGGAAGCUGCCAAACUAGAUAACCGAAGAUGAAGACGGAAUAUCUUAUGGUAUGCUUAAAUGGUAAAGAUACCAAAAUUCAUAUUUUGAUUGGCUACCGUUUAACACAAUAUUUCUCUCUUAUAGAGCAGUGCUUCUCAAUUAUUUUCUGUCAUGCCCCUCCUAGGAAGAAGAAAACAUCUCGCGCCCCCU
Molecule: long non-coding RNA, 525 nt
Organism: Polypterus senegalus (gray bichir)
Lineage: Eukaryota; Metazoa; Chordata; Cladistia; Polypteriformes; Polypteridae
Exons: 3
Source: RefSeq, a predicted model, not a curated record